UUUUCAGACCGUACCAAAGAAAGUUUCUAUUCCUCUGCAACCAAAUUGACUCUGUAUUGAAUCGAUAAAACGACCACUUCAUGUAAAUUUCCAAUAUAAAUAGACAAGCUUGUUGCUUAUCCAAUAUUAGCUAAAAGAGAGAGACUCUUACAGCAAGCUAAGGAGAAAGCUAUCCGUGUGUGUAAGUUAAAUUCAGUUUAGCUAAUAUAUAUAACAAGCAGGAGGCCCAAAAAAAGAGAAUAUGAAGAACGUUAUGAAGAUUGUGUUUGUGCUUUCCAUCAUCAUGUGCGUCCUCCUAACACCUACCGUUGCUAGGAGGUACGUGAGUGGUGGAACAAGGGCUAGUAAUGAGUAUAGUCGUGGUGGAACUGCAACCACAACCACACGGGUCCUAGAAGCCCCAGCUGGGGCUCCCCGCGCCCGCGCCAGCAACAACUCAUCAUCAUCCACCCCCUUGUGCAUGUCCUCUGUGGCUAUGGCUCUAUUUGCUUACCUUUCAUUUGUUUACUUUUGAUAGAUAAAUAUCGGGGGAGGGGGUUCAGAAUUUAGAUUUUGUGGGUUGCGUUGUGACCUGUGACUGUGAAUUCUACCAAUCUACAAUUGUUUUUCUCUAUAUACAUAUAGGAGUUUGAUGACUAGUCACGGGUUUCUAAGGAACCACGAAACCGUGGUUAGGUUUGAAACUGUUACUAUUAUAGUAUUUGUAUAAACUGCAUUUGUGGCAAAAAAAGAAAGUAUAUUAUUGGCUGAUGUACUGAGGCCAUGUCAUAAUGUAAUCUGUUGGUGUUUUGUAUAAAAUCUGAUUUUAAAAUUAAAAUUCCUUGUCAUGUGAUUGACUAUGUGCUGCUGGAAAUUUGAAGCUGAAUUUGGAGUUGGGAAAAUUGAUUGAAGUAGAACUGCAGUUUAUUAAGAGCAACUGGAAUCAGAACCUGUAGGUAAAUGAAAUAAACUAAGCAGAAAAGGUG
Molecule: long non-coding RNA, 965 nt
Filed under: Capsicum annuum
Lineage: Eukaryota; Viridiplantae; Streptophyta; Magnoliopsida; Solanales; Solanaceae
Description: long non-coding RNA (CANN_LNC009156)
Source: RNAcentral